Molecule: long non-coding RNA, 1982 nt
Organism: Pongo pygmaeus (Bornean orangutan)
Lineage: Eukaryota; Metazoa; Chordata; Mammalia; Primates; Hominidae
Exons: 3
Source: RefSeq, a predicted model, not a curated record
AGCUGGAGAGUGAAGUUCCGCUUAACGCCGGGCUGCGAAAGGCGGGGACGUCACACUAUUGGCAGGGAGUAGAGAGAACGGGCUGGUUUAAAGGCCCUUUUUUCUGUCCAUUGGAUGAACUGGAUGUCAACAUUCAGGCUGGGUGGGCGGGGCUGAGAGAGGUCGGUGAGAGCGGCCUUAGCAACCGCCAGUGAGCUGUGAAGACUUGGGUUGGGCGGGGCUGCGAGAGGUGACGCCGGGAGGUCCUGGCUGAGAGCGCCGGCUGCCAGCUGGAGACAUGAUUGCAGUGUGGGCCUUAGGAUUUGAACCAAAGAAAGAAGAAAUUUAAAAAAUGGUAGCUGAAGUUGAUAAAGAAGGAAUUGGCACCAUUAGUUUUGAAGAUUUUUGUUUGCCAUUAUGAGUAUAAAAAUGAUAUAGUUGUGAUUUUAUUUUUCAAAGAAAUACUAGCAAUAACCUGCUACAUUUUAGGGCUGGAGCAAUCAGAACUUUUAUAGAGAAGUAAUUAGAACUAGGUUUUUAAGGAUGGGAGAUAGGAAGAGCAAGAUUAAAUAUGUUUUCAGGGUAGUAAUGAGAAGACUAUGAUGUGGAGAAGAGGUUUUCGUCAGGAAAUAAUGAGGCUAUAUUGCAGGAUAGAGAGAAUGGGGCCAGAAUUUGGAAGCCUUUAAUUCAGCAAACAUAUAUUGAAUGUCUAUUUUUGCCAGGCACUAUUCUAAGGAGCAUUGAAAGAUACAACCUCCCGUUUUGAAGCUUACGUUUUUGGUAACGGAUCUGAAUUAUGAGGCUUAAUAAGAGAUGCAUUCUGGACCACCCUGUGCCUCCUCCACCUCAGCAAGCUCUACAUUUAAGCACCUUGAGGGCAGAUGAAAUGCUUGAUGAAGCUGAUCAUGAUGGAGAUGGAGAAAUAAAUGAGGAAGAUUUUUUGAGAGUGAUGAAAAAGACUACUUGUUAUUAAUAGCGUUGUUUUGGUCCUUGUGGAAAAUUAACAGAUUUGUAUUUGUUAUACAGUUUUAUAAUUUAAUGUCUGAAUAUAUUCAUUUUCAGUUUUUAGUUUAUAUGUACACAUUGGCUUCUUGAUGUCUAAUCCAUGUAAGAAGUUGCACAUCUCUACCAAUAUGAUGUUAAAUCUACAGCAUCAAGAAACAAAACAUAAUGACUUCUUUGAGCCAUUAAUCUAAGAACAGUAUUAAUUCUAGCUGCUCUUUUGAGAACCCUAGGUCACAAAGACUUGGAAUUUUUAAGUUUGAUGAAGUUGGCUUCAUAUCCAAAUGAAUUUGGCAAACAAACCCUAUAUUUUCCUUUUGUGCAACCCAAAAAAACCUGAUGAACAUUUGCUUUUUAGUCAGUUACUCAAAUACAUAAAGUAUUAAAUAGAACUGUCUGGUAACAUUAUUUGCUAAUUUUCUUCUUUCAGUUAUAAAGAAAAUUCAAAAUAGCACUUACAUCACCCAUAUUUCCCUGUAAGUUUGACCCUAUAGUGAGCACUUAAUACCUCUGUGCUAGGACAGGUGGUGUAGAGUUUCAUUUUUUUUUAAUUUUAUUUAUAUGUUUUUUGAGACAAAGUCUCCCUCUGUCACGCAGGCUGGAGUGCAGUGGUGCGAUCUCGGCUCAAUGCAACCUCUGCCUCCUGGGCUCAAGAGAUUCUCCUGCCUCAGCCUGCCGAGUAGCUGGGACUACAGGCACCUGCCACCAUGCCUGUAAUUUUUUGCAUUUUUGGUAGAGACAGAGUUUCACUGUGUUAGCCAUGAUGGUCUCGAUCUCCUGACCUCAUGAUCUGCCUACCUCAGCCUCCCAAACUGCUGGAAUUACAGGGGUGAGCCACUGCGCCUGGCCGAGAUUUUAUGUGUUACCUCAGUAAACAUAUUACAAGUUGGAAGCUGAUUGUAUUAGCUCAAUUUUACAUACAAGAAAACUAAAGUUCAGAGAAGUUUUAAAAAUUCCCCAAUUGCCCAUUGAUAAUAAAUAAAACAUGGAUUCCAAAUCUU